This 143-nucleotide unclassified non-coding RNA is filed under the name uncultured Oidiodendron. RNAcentral's name for it is "sequence contains ITS2". Lineage: Eukaryota; Fungi; Ascomycota; Leotiomycetes; Myxotrichaceae. The record is from RNAcentral.
CAACCCUCAAGCCCCGGCUUGGUGUUGGGCCCCGCCCCCCGUGGCCAGCCCCAAAGACAGUGGCGGCGCCGCCUGGCCCUCAGCGUAGUACGUCUCUCGCUCCAGGGCCUGGCAGCGGCCGGCCAGAACCCCCCCACCUGUGG